This 815-nucleotide long non-coding RNA is filed under the name Mytilus galloprovincialis (Mediterranean mussel). Lineage: Eukaryota; Metazoa; Mollusca; Bivalvia; Mytilida; Mytilidae. The record is from RNAcentral.
CUAAAGAAAAACAAAGACUAACACAAAUUCGCAACACACAACACCGAAUAAAUGAGAUUGAACAAAACGAACCUUUACAUAUCAUGCAUAUGGCGGUAGUAAACACAGGUACUCCAAAAAGUUAUACAGAUCAUUCUUUUAUCUGUUAUGCCAAGAAACCCCGCUUAAAAAAUUGCACUCGGUUACGUUAUCAACGAGAAAAAAAACAGCACCGAGAUUGUAGCUAAGUCAAUGUGUACCAAAAAUCGAACAUUUCUGUCAUCAUUGACAAUAACUCCAGAAUGGUCAAACAAUUCAUGACGUAAUUAAAAGUAAAUGAUCACAAUGGAUGCUUUAUACUGCCCAAGGAUUAACUUCAAUCUAUUGUAUACAAAACAAGAAUAUGUCCAUAGUACACGGAUGCCCCACUCGCACUACCAUUUACUUUGUUCAGUGGUUCGUGAAAUUGGGAUAAAACACAAUUUGGUACUCAAAUCAUAGGAAACAUGUGUACUAAGUUUCAAGUUGAUUGGACUUCGACUUCAACAAAAACUUGAUUAACCAAACACUUAAACCUAAAGCGAGACAGACGCAAAGACCGAAAAAACAUAUUGGCCCUAGGUGGGGGAUAAAAAUGUACACGUGUGUUGUAAUUAUAAAUAAGGCCUUUAAACGUCGACAUAACAACCGGUUAAUUGGUCGAAAGAUUAUUCGAGUAACCGGUUUGGCGAAACUGGAUGAUAUACAUCCUGGACAAUAAAACGGAAGCAGCACUUUAGCAUGGGCUUAACUGCCGAAUAAGGAGAGUUCAAUGGAUAACCAUAAUUCUAAACCCC